GUUCUGUUCAAAAGUGAAUGGCUCCUUGGCUCUUUGAAGCUCUUGAUUCUCUCUGGAUUACCGAUUCUUUCUCUUCUUUUCAUGGUAAUAAUUUUUUUCCCUUUAAUGAUAUAGAAUUUAGUACUUUGUCUGAAAGGGUCCAAUAUUUUUGUUGUGGGUUUUGUGUAAAUUCUUUGUAAAGACUUCAAUUUUUACUCUGUUAAUCUUUGAGAGCGUUUUGUUAAUAAUUUGCAGUCACUAUGUUAUUUAAGCAGCUUUGAUAUACCUUUGGGGAAUUAGAGAUUCACAUUAUUAUAAUGUAAAUUCUAAAUUAUUGGACUGUAUUAUGGAAGAAAACGAAGUUAAAUUUUUGUAAAUUUUCGUGCAGUGGAUUUUAAAGUGUUGGAUAGUGUUAAGGAAGAAACUGAAGUUAAGAUUUUGUAGAUUUUUGCGCGGUGGAUUGUUCAGUAUUGUACAGAAUUAAGAAUGAAAGAAGAGCUAAUUUCAAUAUAUUGUGAUUUUCAGCCCUCAAGAAGGGUCAAUUCUCUUUAUGAUAAUAUGGGAAUCCGGGCAAUUAAUGUUAGUUGAAGAAUCUGAUAACAUUUUGUCUGGUUUCUCUGUUUUAGGAUCUACAUCCAUGGUAAACUUCGAAAAUCCAGAUUGAUAAAAAAGCAAAUGGCAAUGAUGAUUAGAUGGUUGCUUUCAACAGUCGUAGAAGAAAAGGCGGCUCACGCCUAGGGAUGGCAUUGGGCCCAGUCGAGUCGGCUUGACCCUUUAAUUCACGAGCUCGACUUGGGCUCGUAAUGAGCCGAGCUUGUGGCUCGUGAAAGACGAGCUGAGCUUGAGCUCGGCUUGUUGCUCGGGCUCGGCCCACGAGCUCGUGAGCCCAGCCGAGCUCACGAGCCGCUUGAGAGCUUGUGAUUUUUUUAUUUUUUUAAUUUUUAAUUUUUUUGAUUUUUUUUUUUUGUUGUAAACUUGCACAUUUUUGGCCUUUUUUUUCAUAUUUUUUGACGAGCUUGUGGGCUCAUCAACACGGCUCGUGGGCUCGACGAGCUCGUGGGAUUGAUCCGCCCACGAGCCGAGUUUUGACGAGAUGACGAGUCGCUCGACCCGUUUGACAUCCCCACUCAUGCUCGAUCAGGUUUAACUUCUUGAGAAAAGUUUUGAGGUGAAAAAUAAGCUCGAACCAGAGAGAAAGCUCCAGCUUGCUAAAGAACUUGGACUGUAACCUAGGCAAGUUGCAAUUUGGUUCCAAAACCGUCGAGCCCGGUACAAAACAAAGAACUUGGAGAAAGAGUGUGAUUCUUUAAAAGAAAGGCAGAUUAUGACAGCCAAUUCAAAGAGAAUGAGAAACUGAAAAAUGAGGUACAAUUUAUUGCUUGGUUAAAAAAAUUCAAUUUACACUUUAGUUGUCACUAAUUAUUUUUUUUUGUAAAUAAGUGUGAAUGCUCACGGAGAAGUUGCUUUCGAGGGAUAAAGUUAAACGAAAACCUGAAUCUUUUCAUUUGCAAAUAAUUCUUGAUACGAAAACACAGAACCUUGGGGAAUUUUUUUAUUUAGAUUUUUUUCUUGUUUGGCUAUAAUGAAAAAUUGUAAAUCUGUGUAAAAUCUUAAAAGAUGAGAUCAAUUUAGAAGCACUUUUAUUUUGCUAUGUUUUAAUUUUUGACAAAUUAAAUUGCUUCAUGCUUUAGGGCCUCCACAUUCUUGUACAUAAUAUUCUUUAAUUAGGAAUUGAGCAUAUCUGAAAUACUAGAAGCCAAGAGGAGGCAGUGGCAGUCAACAUGAGUUGGGAAUAGAAACAGCCGGACAGAGGAGAGGGGAGGACUGGCAAUGGUGAGCAGGGAAUGAUAGUUACAAACUAAAUGAUUAACAAAAAGAAAGAAUUGC
RNAcentral lists this long non-coding RNA (1866 nucleotides) under Olea europaea subsp. europaea. Lineage: Eukaryota; Viridiplantae; Streptophyta; Magnoliopsida; Lamiales; Oleaceae. The record is from RNAcentral.